GCUGGGCAUGGUGGCUCAUGCCUGUAAUCCCAGCACUUUGGGAGGCUGAGGUGGGUGGAUCGCCUGAGGUCAGGAACUUGAGACCAGCCUGGCCAACAUGGUGAAACCCCGUCUCUA
This 117-nucleotide non-coding RNA is filed under the name Chlorocebus sabaeus (green monkey). The record is from Rfam by way of RNAcentral. Lineage: Eukaryota; Metazoa; Chordata; Mammalia; Primates; Cercopithecidae.